Non-coding RNA from Salmo salar (Atlantic salmon), 54 nucleotides. The record is from Rfam. NCBI's taxonomy places the organism in Eukaryota, Metazoa, Chordata, Actinopteri, Salmoniformes, Salmonidae.
UGCACUCACUACUGUAAGUCGCUCUGGAUAAGAGCAUCUGCUAAAUGUCAACAU